GGUAGUCCACGCCGUAAACGUUGGGAACUAGUUGUGGGGACCAUUCCACGGUUUCCGUGACGCAGCUAACGCAUUAAGUUCCCCGCCUGGGGAGUACGGCCGCAAGGCUAAAACUCAAAGGAAUUGACGGGGACCCGCACAAGCGGCGGAGCAUGCGGAUUAAUUCGAUGCAACGCGAAGAACCUUACCAAGGCUUGACAUACACCAGAACGGGCCAGAAAUGGUCAACUCUUUGGACACUGGUGAACAGGUGGUGCAUGGUUGUCGUCAGCUCGUGUCGUGAGAUGUUGGGUUAAGUCCCGCAACGAGCGCAACCCUCGUUCUAUGUUGCCAGCACGUAAUGGUGGGAACUCAUGGGAUACUGCCGGGGUCAACUCGGAGGAAGGUGGGGAUGACGUCAAAUCAUCAUGCCCCUUAUGUCUUGGGCUUCACGCAUGCUACAAUGGCCGGUACAAAGGGCUGCAAUACCGUGAGGUGGAGCGAAUCCCAAAAAGCCGGUCCCAGUUCGGAUUGAGGUCUGCAACUCGACCUCAUGAAGUCGGAGUCGCUAGUAAUCGCAGAUCAGCAACGCUGCGGUGAAUACGUUCCCGGGUCUUGUACACACCGCCCGUCAAGUCAUGAAAGUCGGUAACACCUGAAGCCGGUGGCCCAACCCUUGUGGAGGGAGCCGUCGAAGGUGGGAUCGGUAAUUAGGACUAAGUCGUAACAAGGUAGCCGUACCGGAAGGUGC
RNAcentral lists this ribosomal RNA (730 nucleotides) under uncultured bacterium. RNAcentral describes it as "bacterial SSU rRNA". It matches the Rfam family "Bacterial small subunit ribosomal RNA", at positions 789 to 1515 of the family's 1533-position model. The record is from RNAcentral.